RNAcentral lists this long non-coding RNA (233 nucleotides) under Helianthus annuus (common sunflower). Its description in RNAcentral is "sRNA HanXRQr2_Chr12g0531071". Lineage: Eukaryota; Viridiplantae; Streptophyta; Magnoliopsida; Asterales; Asteraceae. The record is from RNAcentral.
CCAUAUAAGUAUGGUGAGUUCUUGUUGAGUACCAUCUGUUUCUGAAGUAGGAGAUAAACUGCCCCCAAUUGCAUACUUAUUGUUGGUUUGAAUAAACCCGGAGCAAAGAUUGUAACAUCCAGUUUUUUGAUAUCCAUCACUCUUCCAGUAGAUGAACAGCCUCGUGUUAGUGUCUCCGUAGAUCAAUGGAUACACCUUUCUAUGUGGCGAAACUGGUGGGUUGUGUUACAUAA